Non-coding RNA from Salvia hispanica, 927 nucleotides. Lineage: Eukaryota; Viridiplantae; Streptophyta; Magnoliopsida; Lamiales; Lamiaceae. The record is from RefSeq and is a predicted model, not a curated record.
AAAGGUAUUUGCGGGCUAUGAUGAUAAUAUUCUGAACCUGCUCUGAUACCAUGUAGAAUUGUAUAAUUGUUUGAUAUAUUAUUCACAAUGAGAUGAUACAUCAUAUAUAGGCCAAGGGAGAACUAUACACGAAUAUUCUUUGAUCUCCAACAAAUCAAUGGUGUUAAAUCCAACAUUUGUGACAUGGCAAAGGCAAGAUAGAAGAGUAUGCCUUGACCUUGGUGGUAGGGCUCAGAUCUGCAAGAGAUAUCUGGACAACACUGGAGACCAACUUUGCAAGCCGCUCAACGGCCAAGAAUCUCAUAAGGAGAACAAGUGCUACACAUCUUGGGAGAUCUGGGUCAAGAGUAUGAUCCAGUGACCUCAAGGUCAGAUCCAUGGAGCAUUGGAGAUGUCAGUGCCUUUCUGCUAAGUUUUGAGUCUAGAAUGGAAUCAACUAGAGCUCACUCCAUCAGCUCAGAUAGCAGCCAUCACUCAAUCUAGUUUUUCGGACAGAAAAUGGAUCAGCAAAACUUUGGCAACAACAAGUUUGAGCAUGGAGGUGGAAGUGGCUUUAGAGGAAGAAACCAAAGAGGUGACCGUGGUGUAAGAAGCUUUGGUAGAGGAGGCAACAAAAUUUUUUGCCAGUUGUGUCAGAAACCUGCCAUUCUGCAGCUAAGUACUGGCACAGGUUCGAGCAGAACUACACACCAGCUCAGUUCAGUUUAGAGAAAAUUCUCCACCACAACAACAGCAACAACAGAGCUUCUUUAAUCCUUCAGCUCACCUGAUUCAAUCUGUUCCAAGAUCCCCUUUAGGUUCUUUCUCUGUUGCACCAUCAGAGUUCAACUAUAGACCAAAUGCCUCUUCAAGUUGGUAUCCAGAUUCAGGAGCCACUCAUCAUGUAUCAAAUGAUUUGAGCAACCUCUACAAAGCUUAGAGUAUACA